This 824-nucleotide ribosomal RNA is filed under the name Bacillus sp. PG_04. RNAcentral's name for it is "bacterial SSU rRNA". It matches the Rfam family "Bacterial small subunit ribosomal RNA", at positions 49 to 853 of the family's 1533-position model. Lineage: Bacteria; Bacillati; Bacillota; Bacilli; Caryophanales; Bacillaceae. The record is from RNAcentral.
CUAUACAUGCAGUCGAGCGGACAGAUGGGAGCUUGCUCCCUGAUGUUAGCGGCGGACGGGUGAGUAACACGUGGGUAACCUGCCUGUAAGACUGGGAUAACUCCGGGAAACCGGGGCUAAUACCGGAUGCUUGAUUGAACCGCAUGGUUCAAUUAUAAAAGGUGGCUUUUAGCUACCACUUACAGAUGGACCCGCGGCGCAUUAGCUAGUUGGUGAGGUAACGGCUCACCAAGGCAACGAUGCGUAGCCGACCUGAGAGGGUGAUCGGCCACACUGGGACUGAGACACGGCCCAGACUCCUACGGGAGGCAGCAGUAGGGAAUCUUCCGCAAUGGACGAAAGUCUGACGGAGCAACGCCGCGUGAGUGAUGAAGGUUUUCGGAUCGUAAAACUCUGUUGUUAGGGAAGAACAAGUACCGUUCGAAUAGGGCGGUACCUUGACGGUACCUAACCAGAAAGCCACGGCUAACUACGUGCCAGCAGCCGCGGUAAUACGUAGGUGGCAAGCGUUGUCCGGAAUUAUUGGGCGUAAAGCGCGCGCAGGCGGUUUCUUAAGUCUGAUGUGAAAGCCCCCGGCUCAACCGGGGAGGGUCAUUGGAAACUGGGGAACUUGAGUGCAGAAGAGGAGAGUGGAAUUCCACGUGUAGCGGUGAAAUGCGUAGAGAUGUGGAGGAACACCAGUGGCGAAGGCGACUCUCUGGUCUGUAACUGACGCUGAGGCGCGAAAGCGUGGGGAGCGAACAGGAUUAGAUACCCUGGUAGUCCACGCCGUAAACGAUGAGUGCUAAGUGUUAGAGGGUUUCCGCCCCUUUAGUGCUGCAGCA